RNAcentral lists this long non-coding RNA (6758 nucleotides) under Nicotiana benthamiana. Its description in RNAcentral is "long non-coding RNA (NBEN_LNC037082)". Lineage: Eukaryota; Viridiplantae; Streptophyta; Magnoliopsida; Solanales; Solanaceae. The record is from RNAcentral.
UCCGGUCCGGUCCCGGUUUAUACCGGGCCGGUCCGGUUCGGUCCCGGGUCAACCCGGACCAGUUGACAGGUUUAGUUUGGAACUGUUUUAGAGCUGCUUGGUCGAGGUUUUUAGCUCGUUUUUGGGCCGUUUUUGCCGCUUUUGGGCUGAUUUUUGCUGAGCUUUCAUGGAGGCUUCAAAGUGUCACGACCCCAGCUCGCCCUCCGUGAAAAUGUCGUGAUAAAACGCCUAGUUCCUGCGACUAGGUAAGCCUAAUGAUGCGGAAAACAACAUGACUUGUGGAAAUAAUUAAUCAAAACUGAACAACUAAAAAAACUGUAUAUAAAUGCCACUCGGCAUAUACAACUCAAUAAUUCGGAAGUCUACAAUAUCACCCCAAAAUUCGAAAACUCACCGGGACACAAGCUAGAAAAAUGCAGUAAGUUCUCCAAUCUCCAAAAAUGUCUAUAGCAAAAAUAUGAUAGAAGGUUAAACACUACAAGAUAGAGUAAAGAAGCUCGAAGUUUCCUUAGCUCUCCCUACCUCAAGGAUAAUGCGCCUGGCUGGAGGUACCUGGAUCUGCACAUGAAAAACAUGCGCAGAAGGGACAUGAGUACACUACAACGGUGCUUAGUAAGUGUCAAGCCUAACCUAGGUCGGGUAGUGACGAGGAAGGUCAGGACCCUAUUGAGAUAAAACAUAAUAAAUGAUAGGGUAAAGAAAGAGUAUAUAUAAAGUCUACAACGAGAAUCUAAACAGGAUAAUUAAGGGAUACAGUAGUAGAAAGCAGAAAUAAGAAAAUACAAGGAAAUACCUCUACAACAGGAAAUAAUAAUCGCGGAUCUUUUGGUAUUCUGAAGAUCUCCUGGUACCCUCAAUAUAUACAAAUACAUGUGUAGGGGAUCUUUUGGUAUCCUCAAUAUAUAAAAAUACCUCUGCCGGGGAUCUCUUAGUAUCCCGAGAAUCUCUCGGUAUCCUCAAUAUAUACAAAUACAUGUGCCGAAGAUCACUUGGUAUCCCGAGGAUCUCUUGGUAUCCUUAAUAUAUACAAAUACAGAUGCCAGAGAUCUCUUGGUAUCACAAGGAUCUCUUGGUAUCCUCAAUAUAUACAAAUACAAGUGUCGGGGAUUUGUUGAUAUCCCACACUCUCAGCUCGGGUCAUAACACGUGCAGGGGAAUCUCCCGGGAUGCCUUCCCAUAGUCCCAAUUUAAAAACGCAUAAUAACUGCUCAAGAAUGUCAGAAUAUAUGCUAAACUCAUAACAAGUAUUAGUAAGUUCUAGCCUAACAUGCUCCACGAAAUACAAAUAAGGCAGUUAAAGAAAAUAGCCAAAUAGGUCAACUAGAGUUUUUUUUUCAAAUUUACAUAGGUUAAGUUUGCAAUUAGAGUAAACUCGAGUAAACAGGAAACCCAAUUUAAAUACUUUAAGUAAAAUCAGAUUUUUCAACAAUUAGCUCAAGUACACACACGUCACCUCAUGUACAAGGUAUUCAAUUACCAAAUAUCACUUCCUAAGGGGAAACGUCCCCGCCAUAAGGUUAGAGAAGCUACUUACCUUAAACCAGCUCUAAAAUCAACUCGAAAUCACACUUUUGACUUGCGUAUCUGACUCCAAAUGGCCCAACUCUAUUCAAUUUAAUUACAUAUCAUAAGUAACAUCUCAAACAACUGAUUUCACUAUUUAAUUCAAAGCUAAGACGCAAAAGUAGGUAAAAUACAGGCCAGCGUCUCGAAAUCGGGUGAAACUUAUAUUUCAGAAAACUCAUACUUUCACGAGUCUAUACAUAACAAGAACAUAAAAAUCAAAGUUCAAAUGACCCCUCAAAUCCCAACUUAAAAUUCAAAAAUCUCAAACCCUAAUUCUUCCCUUUUCAAAUAAAUGCCAUGAUUUUCUAGGCUAAUUUCACAAUGAGAUCACGCUUUUAGUUCAUAGAACUCACCUCCAAUCAAUCCUCCUCGAAUCCCUCUUCAAGUAGCCCAAAUAGCUCUCAACAUACUCAAAAAUGGAGGAAAAAUGACUUAGGCUCGCGGAUGAAAUGUUUAUAACCUUCUUUCCAGUCCAAGCAAAUCCUUCAUCGCGAUCGCGACCAUGGUCACGCAAUCGCAAAGCAUUAAAAUCCAAGUCUCCGAAAAUUACCUAUGCGAACGCGACCAAACACACGCGAACACGAUACCUAAAUUUCCACAACUGCGCGAACUUGUCCCACUCUAUGCAAACACGAAUAACAAAUCUCCCUGGGCUCCAAAGUCUUCUACGCGAGCGCAAACUAGCACCUGCGAACGCGAAGCACAAAGAACUCACCAUGCGUGAUAGUGAACACUCUAGCACGAAUGCGAAAAACAAAACUUAGCCUGCCAAAAUCCUUCUUGCAAUCGCGGCCCUAGGCUCGCGAUCGCGAAGGCCAAAACACAGUUGCACUGCUGCUGCAAUUUUCUGCAAUUCCAUAAGUCUCAAAACUUCCUGUUAGCCAUCCGAAAUCACCCUGAGACCCCCGAGACCUCAACCAAAAGUACCAACACAUCCUAAAACCUCACCCAAACUUGUUCCCAUCCUUAAACCACCUAAAACAACGCCGGAAACUCAAAUUAAUCAAUGAUUCAUGCCUAAGAACUUCAAAUUCUCUAAAAACACCUUUUCUAUCAAAAACCUUACCUAACCACGCCCCAAUUACCUGAAAUUUUGCACACACAUCCCAAAUGACAUGACUGAGCUAUUGCAACUUUCAGAAUACCAUUCUGACCCUCGGAAAAAAAUCUCCCCUAUCAACCGUAAACUUUGAGAUUUCAAGACUAAAUUAGCUACGGACCUCAAAAACACAUUCCGAACAUGCUCCCAACCUGAAAAUCACCUAACGAAGCUAACGGAAUCAUCAGUUUCCAUUCCAAGGUCGUCUUCACAUUGUUCAGACUAGGGACAACUUUCUAACACUUAAGCUCUUAAUUUGGGACUAAGUGUCCCAAAAAGUCUCCGAAACUCAAAACUGUAUGUCCCGACAAAUCCAAUAAGUAGAUUUAACUUGGGAAAAGUAGUUAAUAUGGAAUUGGGGCAUUACUUCUUAAGGCUAUAGCCCGGGUCGUCACAUCAUCCUACACUUAAACAUUCGUUCAUCCUCGAAUGAGCAUAAGGAGAUACCUGAAGUAGUGAAAAUGUAAGGGUCAUUGCUGCGCAUAUCCUGCUUGGUCUCCCAGGUCGCCUCCUCGGAGGGUGACCCUGUUGCUGAAUCUUUAUUGAAGUAAUGUUCUUUGACCUCAACUUUUGGAUCUGCCUGUACAAUAUAGAAACUGGCUCCUCCACAUAAGAUAGAUCCUUGUCUAGUUGGACUGAAUUGAAAUCCAACACGUGCGAAGGAUCACUGUGAUACCUCUGAAGCAUAGAAACAUGAAAUACCGGGUGAACCCCUGCCAGGCUAGGAGGUAAGGCAAGCUCAUAAGUAACCUCCCCAACAUGCUUAAAUAUCUCAAAAGGGCCAAUGAACCUUGGACUCAACUUCCCUUUCUUCCCAAAUCUCAUGAUGCCCUUCAUAGGCAAAACUCAGAGAAGAACCCGCUCUCCAACUAUAAAGGAAACAUCACGAACCUUCCCGUCCGCAUAGCUCUUUUGUCUAGACUGGUUGUACGGAGUCUAUCCUGAAUUACAUUGACCUUCUCCAAAGCAUCCUGAACUAAAUCUUUGCCCAAUAGUCUGGCCUCGCCCAGGUCGAACCAACUCACUGAAGAUCUACGCCGCCUACGAUACAAGGCCUAAUACGGUGCCAUCUGAAUGUUAAACUGAUAGCCAUUGUUGUAAGAAAACUCUACCAGUGUCAAGAACUGGCCCAAGAUCCUCCAAACUCAAUCACGCACGCAUGGAGCAUAUCUUCAAGAAUCUUAAUAGUGCGCUUGGACAGCCCGUCCGUCUUGGGGGUGAAAUGAUGUGCUCAACUCCACCCGAGUACCCAACUCCUGAUGAACGGCCCUCCAGAACCGUGAUGUGAACUGAGUAUCUCUGUCUGAAAUAAUAGAAACUGGAAUACCAUACAAACGGGUAAUCUCCCAUAUAUAAAUCUCUGCUAACCGCUUUGAAGAAUAAGUGGUACACACAAAAAUGGAAUAAGCGGACUUGGUCAGCUGAUCCAUAAUAACCCAGAUAGCAUCAAACUUCUUCAAGGUCCAUGGGAGUCCAACUACAAAGUACAUGGUGAUCUGUUCCUACUUCCACUCGGGGAAUCUCUAUCUGCUGAACCAACCCACCUUGUCUCUAGUGCUCGUACUUCACCUGCUGGCAGUUGAGGCAUCUGACUACAUAUCCCACUAUAUCCUUCUUUAUCCGCCUCCCCAGUAGUGCUGCCUCAAGUCCUGAUACAUCUUCACGGUACCUAGAUGGAUGGAAUAUUCUGAACUGUGGGCCUCCUAUAGAACCAGCUCCCGUAGCCCAUCGACAUUAGGUGCACAAACCCGACCCUGCAUCUUCAAUACUCCAUCCUCGCCAAUGUUCACAUCUCUGGCAUUAUCAUACUGAACCCUAUCCUUAAGGACAAGCAAAUUAGGGUCAUCAUAUUGCCGCUCCCUGAUAUGAUUAAAUAAUGAAGACCAAGAAACCAUGCAAGCUAGAACCCGACUAGAAUGGCUGUCCAGAGGCUGAACAUCCAUCACCAUAGGCCUCUUCGAUACUGGUAGAUAUGCCAAACUCCCCAAACUCUCUGCCCUGCAACUCAAGGCAUUAACUACUACAUUAGCCUUGCCUGGGUGAUACAAAAUAGUGAUAUCAUAAUGCUUUAGCAACUCCAACCACCUCCUCUGGCGCAAAUUUAGAUCCUUCUGCUUGAACAAAUGCUGAAAACUCCUAUGAUCAGUAUAAAUCUCACAAGGCACGCGCGUAUAGAUAAUGACGCCAAAUCUUCAGGGCAUGAAUAAUGGCAGCUAACUCAAGAUCAUGGACAGGAUAAUUCUUCUUGUGUAGCUUCAACUGUAUGGAUGCAUGGGCAAUCACCUUACUAUCCUGCAUUAAUACUGCCCCAAGUCCGACUCUUGAGGCAUCACAAUAGACAGUACAAGACCCUGAACCUGUAGGCAAUACCAAAACUGGGCUGUAGUCAAAGUUGUCUUGAGCUUUUGAAAGCUCGCCUCAUACUCCUCUGUCCACUGAAAUGGAGUACCCUUCUGGGUCAAUCUAGUCAUAGGGGCUGCAACCGAUGAAAACCCCUCCAGAAAACAACGUGAGUAGCCCGCCAAGCCAAGGAAACUACAAAUAUCUGUAGCUGAGGACGGCAUGGGCCAACUCUACAUAGCCUCUACCUUCUUCAGAUCUGCUCGAAAGCCCUCGCUCGAUACAACGUGGCCUAAGAAUGCCAUUGAAUCUAACCAAAAAUCUCAUUUUGAUUACUUCGCAUAUAACUUCUUCUCUCUCAGAGUCUGGAGCAUUGUCCCCAGAUGUUGCUCAUGAUCUUCCCGACUCCGAGAAUACACCAUAGUGUAGUCAAUAAGACAAUGAACAAAGGAUUGAUAUACGGCCAAAAUACACUAUGCAUCAAAUGCAUGAAUGCCGCUGGGGCAUUGGUCAGCCCAAAUGACAUAACAAGAAACUCGUAAUGACCAUACUAGUCCUGAAAGCAGUCUUCGGGAUAUCUGGCUCCCGAAUCUUCAAUUGCUGGCAACUAUAGCGCAAAUCAAUCUUAGAAUUACCCAUGCACCCUGAAGCUUGUCAAAUAGAUCAUCAAUAUGAGGCAAAGGAUAACGAUUUUUUACUGUAACAUUGUUCAACUGACGAUAUUGAUGCACAUACGCAUAGAACCAUCCUUUUUCUUCACAAACAAAAUAGAAGCACCUCAAGGUGAAACACUAGGUCGAAUAUAACCCUCAUCAAGCAAUUCCUGCAACUGAUCCUUCAAAUCCUUCAACUUAGGAGGAGCCAUACAAAAUGGAAGGAUAGAAAUGGCCUGAGUGCCCGGCACCAAAUCAAUGCCAAAAUCAAUGUCUCUAUCAGCUGGCAUGCCUAGAAGAUUAGCUGGAAAUACAUUGGGAUAACCUUGCAUCACUAGGACUGAAUCAACAGAAGGGGUAUUAACACUGACAUCUCUAAACAUAAGCUAAAUAUGGGGCACACCCCUUCUUAACAAUGCGCUGAGCUUUAAGAAAAGAGAUAACUUUGCUGGAAGUGUGAUCUAAAGUACCACUCCACUCAACACGCGGUACACCUAGCAUAGCCAGCAUCAUGAUUUUGGCGUGACAAUCAAGAAUUCCAAAAUGGGGCGACAACUAGUCCAUGCCCAAAAUAAUAUCAAAAUCCACCAUGCUAAGUAGCAAUAUGUCUGCUCUGGUCUCAAAACCACGAAUAGUAACCAAACAUGACCGAUAAAUACGGUCCACAAUAAGUGAAUCCCCCACAGGAGUAGAAACAUAAACAGGAAAACUCAAAGAAUCCGGAGAUACACCCAAAUGUGGAGCAAAAUAAGAUGACACAUAAGAGUAAGUAGAGGCUGGAUCAAAUAGAAUCGAUGCAUCUCUGUGGCAAACUAAUAUAAUACCUGUGAUGACAAAAUCGGAGGCAACAACCUCGGCACGAGCAUGAAGGGCAUAAUAUCUGGCAUGGCCUCCCCCUCGAGGGUGUCCUCUAUCUCCCCGGCCUCCACCUCUAGCUGGUUGAGUGGGUGGUGCGACAAUUGGAGCUGUAACCAUAGCCUGGGAACUCUGCGCGGCACACUGUGGCUGGGAAGUAUGUAAGGGUUCACUCCUCCCAAGUCUAGGGAAAUCCUUCACCACGUAGCGUGUGUCACCAAACUCAAAACAAGCUGUGGGGGNNN